GGAUAGCCAUUGGAAACGAUGAUUAAUACUAGAUACUCCUUCUCUUUCUAAUGAGAGUUGGGAAAGUUUUUCGCUAAGAGAUCGGUCUAUACCCCAUCAGCUUGUUGGUAGUGUAAGAGACUACCAAGGCAAUGACGGGUAGCGGGUUUGAGAGGAUGAUCCGCCACACUGGUACUGAGACACGGACCAGACUCCUACGGGAGGCAGCAGUGAGGAAUAUUGCACAAUGGAGGAAACUCUGAUGCAGCAACGCCGCGUGGAGGAUGACGCAUUUCGGUGUGUAAACUCCUUUUAUGAGUCAAGAAAAUGACGGUAGCUCAUGAAUAAGCACCGGCUAACUCCGUGCCAGCAGCCGCGGUAAUACGGAGGGUGCAAGCGUUAUUCGGAAUCACUGGGCGUAAAGGACGCGUAGGCGGGAUGCCAAGUCUGAUGUGAAAUCCUAUGGCUCAACCAUAGAACUGCAUUGGAAACUGGUAACCUAGAGUAUGGGAGGGGGAGAUGGAUAGUGGGGUUUUAGGGGGUAAAUUUG
RNAcentral lists this ribosomal RNA (529 nucleotides) under uncultured Campylobacterota bacterium. Its description in RNAcentral is "bacterial SSU rRNA". It matches the Rfam family "Bacterial small subunit ribosomal RNA", at positions 141 to 690 of the family's 1533-position model. The record is from RNAcentral. Lineage: Bacteria; Pseudomonadati; Campylobacterota.